UAGGGAAUAUUGCACAAUGGAGGAAACUCUGAUGCAGCCAUGCCGCGUGUGUGAAGAAGGCCUUCGGGUUGUAAAGCACUUUCGGAGGGGAGGGAAAAAAUAGACGUUACCCUCAGAAGAAGCACCGGCUAACUCCGUGCCAGCAGCCGCGGUAAAACGUAGGGUGCAAGCGUUGUCCGGAAUUACUGGGUGUAAAGGGAGCGCAGGCGGACCGGCAAGUUGGAAGUGAAAACCAUGGGCUCAACCCAUGAAUUGCUUUCAAAACUGCUGGCCUUGAGUAGUGCAGAGGUAGGCGGAAUUCCCGGUGUAGCGGUGGAAUGCGUAGAUAUCGGGAGGAACACCAGUGGCGAAGGCGGCCUACUGGGCACCAACUGACGCUGAGGCUCGAAAGUAUGGGUAGCAAACAGGAUUAGAUACCCUGGUAGU
Molecule: ribosomal RNA, 426 nt
Filed under: uncultured Gemmiger sp.
Lineage: Bacteria; Bacillati; Bacillota; Clostridia; Eubacteriales; Oscillospiraceae
Description: bacterial SSU rRNA
Rfam family: Bacterial small subunit ribosomal RNA
Source: RNAcentral